GGGUUGUGAGGUUAAGCGACUAAGCGUACACGGUGGAUGCCCUGGCAGUCAGAGGCGAUGAAGGACGUGCUAAUCUGCGAUAAGCGUCGGUAAGGUGAUAUGAACCGUUAUAACCGGCGAUUUCCGAAUGGGGAAACCCAGUGUGUUUCGACACACUAUCAUUAACUGAAUCCAUAGGUUAAUGAGGCGAACCGGGGGAACUGAAACAUCUAAGUACCCCGAGGAAAAGAAAUCAACCGAGAUUCCCCCAGUAGCGGCGAGCGAACGGGGAGCAGCCCAGAGCCUGAAUCAGUGUGUGUGUUAGUGGAAGCGUCUGGAAAGGCGCGCGAUACAGGGUGACAGCCCCGUACACAAAAAUGCACAUGCUGUGAGCUCGAUGAGUAGGGCGGGACACGUGGUAUCCUGUCUGAAUAUGGGGGGACCAUCCUCCAAGGCUAAAUACUCCUGACUGACCGAUAGUGAACCAGUACCGUGAGGGAAAGGCGAAAAGAACCCCGGCGAGGGGAGUGAAAAAGAACCUGAAACCGUGUACGUACAAGCAGUGGGAGCACGCUUAGGCGUGUGACUGCGUACCUUUUGUAUAAUGGGUCAGCGACUUAUAUUCUGUAGCAAGGUUAACCGAAUAGGGGAGCCGAAGGGAAACCGAGUCUUAACUGGGCGUUAAGUUGCAGGGUAUAGACCCGAAACCCGGUGAUCUAGCCAUGGGCAGGUUGAAGGUUGGGUAACACUAACUGGAGGACCGAACCGACUAAUGUUGAAAAAUUAGCGGAUGACUUGUGGCUGGGGGUGAAAGGCCAAUCAAACCGGGAGAUAGCUGGUUCUCCCCGAAAGCUAUUUAGGUAGCGCCUCGUGAAUUCAUCUCCGGGGGUAGAGCACUGUUUCGGCAAGGGGGUCAUCCCGACUUACCAACCCGAUGCAAACUGCGAAUACCGGAGAAUGUUAUCACGGGAGACACACGGCGGGUGCUAACGUCCGUCGUGAAGAGGGAAACAACCCAGACCGCCAGCUAAGGUCCCAAAGUCAUGGUUAAGUGGGAAACGAUGUGGGAAGGCCCAGACAGCCAGGAUGUUGGCUUAGAAGCAGCCAUCAUUUAAAGAAAGCGUAAUAGCUCACUGGUCGAGUCGGCCUGCGCGGAAGAUGUAACGGGGCUAAACCAUGCACCGAAGCUGCGGCAGCGACGCUUAUGCGUUGUUGGGUAGGGGAGCGUUCUGUAAGCCUGCGAAGGUGUGCUGUGAGGCAUGCUGGAGGUAUCAGAAGUGCGAAUGCUGACAUAAGUAACGAUAAAGCGGGUGAAAAGCCCGCUCGCCGGAAGACCAAGGGUUCCUGUCCAACGUUAAUCGGGGCAGGGUGAGUCGACCCCUAAGGCGAGGCCGAAAGGCGUAGUCGAUGGGAAACAGGUUAAUAUUCCUGUACUUGGUGUUACUGCGAAGGGGGGACGGAGAAGGCUAUGUUGGCCGGGCGACGGUUGUCCCGGUUUAAGCGUGUAGGCUGGUUUUCCAGGCAAAUCCGGAAAACUAAGGCUGAGGCGUGAUGACGAGGCACUACGGUGCUGAAGCAACAAAUGCCCUGCUUCCAGGAAAAGCCUCUAAGCAUCAGGUAACAUCAAAUCGUACCCCAAACCGACACAGGUGGUCAGGUAGAGAAUACCAAGGCGCUUGAGAGAACUCGGGUGAAGGAACUAGGCAAAAUGGUGCCGUAACUUCGGGAGAAGGCACGCUGAUAUGUAGGUGAAGUCCCUCGCGGAUGGAGCUGAAAUCAGUCGAAGAUACCAGCUGGCUGCAACUGUUUAUUAAAAACACAGCACUGUGCAAACACGAAAGUGGACGUAUACGGUGUGACGCCUGCCCGGUGCCGGAAGGUUAAUUGAUGGGGUCAGCGCAAGCGAAGCUCUUGAUCGAAGCCCCGGUAAACGGCGGCCGUAACUAUAACGGUCCUAAGGUAGCGAAAUUCCUUGUCGGGUAAGUUCCGACCUGCACGAAUGGCGUAAUGAUGGCCAGGCUGUCUCCACCCGAGACUCAGUGAAAUUGAACUCGCUGUGAAGAUGCAGUGUACCCGCGGCAAGACGGAAAGACCCCGUGAACCUUUACUAUAGCUUGACACUGAACAUUGAGCCUUGAUGUGUAGGAUAGGUGGGAGGCUUGGAAGUGUGGACGCCAGUCUGCAUGGAGCCGACCUUGAAAUACCACCCUUUAAUGUUUGAUGUUCUAACGUUGACCCGUAAUCCGGGUUGCGGACAGUGUCUGGUGGGUAGUUUGACUGGGGCGGUCUCCUCCUAAAGAGUAACGGAGGAGCACGAAGGUUGGCUAAUCCUGGUCGGACAUCAGGAGGUUAGUGCAAUGGCAUAAGCCAGCUUGACUGCGAGCGUGACGGCGCGAGCAGGUGCGAAAGCAGGUCAUAGUGAUCCGGUGGUUCUGAAUGGAAGGGCCAUCGCUCAACGGAUAAAAGGUACUCCGGGGAUAACAGGCUGAUACCGCCCAAGAGUUCAUAUCGACGGCGGUGUUUGGCACCUCGAUGUCGGCUCAUCACAUCCUGGGGCUGAAGUAGGUCCCAAGGGUAUGGCUGUUCGCCAUUUAAAGUGGUACGCGAGCUGGGUUUAGAACGUCGUGAGACAGUUCGGUCCCUAUCUGCCGUGGGCGCUGGAGAACUGAGGGGGGCUGCUCCUAGUACGAGAGGACCGGAGUGGACGCAUCACUGGUGUUCGGGUUGUCAUGCCAAUGGCACUGCCCGGUAGCUAAAUGCGGAAGAGAUAAGUGCUGAAAGCAUCUAAGCACGAAACUUGCCCCGAGAUGAGUUCUCCCUGACUCCUUGAGAGUCCUGAAGGAACGUUGAAGACGACGACGUUGAUAGGCCGGGUGUGUAAGCGCAGCGAUGCGUUGAGCUAACCGGUACUAAUGAACCGUGAGGCUUAACCUUACAACGCCGAAG
RNAcentral lists this ribosomal RNA (2925 nucleotides) under Escherichia coli. RNAcentral describes it as "partial 23S ribosomal RNA". It matches the Rfam family "Bacterial large subunit ribosomal RNA". Lineage: Bacteria; Pseudomonadati; Pseudomonadota; Gammaproteobacteria; Enterobacterales; Enterobacteriaceae. The record is from RNAcentral.